CCUACGGGAGGCUGCAGUGAGGAAUAUUGGUCAAUGGACGAGAGUCUGAACCAGCCAAGUAGCGUGAAGGAUGACUGCCCUAUGGGUUGUAAACUUCUUUUAUAAAGGAAUAAAACGAGGCACGUGUGCCUUUUUGCAUGUACUUUAUGAAUAAGGAUCGGCUAACUCCGUGCCAGCAGCCGCGGUAAUACGGAGGAUCCGAGCGUUAUCCGGAUUGAUUGGGUUUAAAGGGAGCGUAGAUGGGUUUUUAAGUCAGUUGUGAAAGUUUGCGGCUCAAACGUAAAAUUGCAAUUGAUACUGGCAGUCUUGAGUACAGUUGAGGUAGGCGGAAUUCGUGGUGUAGCGGUGAAAUGCUUAGAUAUCACGAAGAACCCCGAUUGCGAAGGCAGCUUACUAAACUGUGACUGACAUUGAUGCUCGAAAGUGUGGGUAUCAAACAGGAUUAGAUACCCCGGUAGUC
RNAcentral lists this ribosomal RNA (460 nucleotides) under uncultured bacterium. RNAcentral describes it as "partial 16S ribosomal RNA". It matches the Rfam family "Bacterial small subunit ribosomal RNA", at positions 338 to 795 of the family's 1533-position model. The record is from RNAcentral.